Molecule: non-coding RNA, 92 nt
Organism: Mycena rebaudengoi
Lineage: Eukaryota; Fungi; Basidiomycota; Agaricomycetes; Agaricales; Mycenaceae
Source: the annotation of a GenBank genome assembly
GGUCCAGUGGUGGAGUGGUAACAUGCCUGCACAGUAUCCAGGAUAUAGUAUCAUGUUUGCGGGAGUUCCCUGUUCAAUUUAGGGCUGGAUCA